Phrynosoma platyrhinos (Desert horned lizard) is the source of this 72-nucleotide non-coding RNA. NCBI's taxonomy places the organism in Eukaryota, Metazoa, Chordata, Lepidosauria, Squamata, Phrynosomatidae. The record is from the annotation of a GenBank genome assembly.
CCCAGUGUGGUGUAAUGGUUUGAGCAUUGGACUAUGACUCUGGAGACCGAGGUUCGAAUUCUCACUUGGCGA